GAUGAACGCUGGCGGCGUGCCUAAUACAUGCAAGUCGAGCGAACGGACGAGAAGCUUGCUUCUCUGAUGUUAGCGGCGGACGGGUGAGUAACACGUGGAUAACCUACCUAUAAGACUGGGAUAACUUCGGGAAACCGGAGCUAAUACCGGAUGAUAUUUUGAACCGCAUGGUUCAAAAGUGAAAGACGGUCUUGCUGUCACUUAUAGAUGGAUCCGCGCUGCAUUAGCUAGUUGGUAAGGUAACGGCUUACCAAGGCAACGAUGCAUAGCCGACCUGAGAGGGUGAUCGGCCACACUGGAACUGGGACACGGUCCAGACUCCUACGGGAGGCAGCAGUAGGGAAUCUUCCGAAAUGGGCGAAAGCCUGACGGAGCAACGCCGCGUGAGUGAUGAAGGUCUUCGGAUCGUAAAACUCUGUUAUUAGGGAAGAACAUAUGUGUAAGUAACUGUGCACAUCUUGACGGUACCUAAUCAGAAAGCCACGGCUAACUACGUG
RNAcentral lists this ribosomal RNA (497 nucleotides) under uncultured bacterium. Its description in RNAcentral is "partial 16S ribosomal RNA". It matches the Rfam family "Bacterial small subunit ribosomal RNA", at positions 28 to 507 of the family's 1533-position model. The record is from RNAcentral.